Molecule: transfer RNA, 73 nt
Filed under: Pteropus alecto (black flying fox)
Lineage: Eukaryota; Metazoa; Chordata; Mammalia; Chiroptera; Pteropodidae
Also listed under: 1 other name
Rfam family: tRNA
About the family: Transfer RNA (tRNA) molecules are approximately 80 nucleotides in length.
Source: Rfam by way of RNAcentral
GGUUCCAUAGUGUAGCAGUUAGCAAGUCUGCUUUACAGGCAGAAGGUCCUGGGUUCGAGCCCCAGUGGAGACA